RNAcentral lists this ribosomal RNA (420 nucleotides) under uncultured archaeon. Its description in RNAcentral is "partial 16S ribosomal RNA". It matches the Rfam family "Archaeal small subunit ribosomal RNA", at positions 323 to 746 of the family's 1478-position model. The record is from RNAcentral.
CUACGGGAUGCAGCAGCCGAGGAACUUUUACAAUGCUCGAAAGAGUGAUCGAGUAAGCCAGAGUGUUUCUCUUUGAGAAACUUUUGUUUGCUGUAAAAAUGCAGACGAAUAAGGACUGGGCAAGACCGGUGCCAGCCGCCGCGGUAAUACCGGCGGUCCGAGUCGCAUCCACAUUUAUUAGGUCUAAAACAUCCGUAGCUUGUUUUAUAAGUCUCUUGUGAAAUCCUAUAUCUCAAGUAUAGGGCGUGCAAGAGAUACUAUAUUACUAGAGACUGGAAGACGCAAAGAGUAUGAUUAAGGUAACGGUAAAAUGUGUUAAUCUUAAUUAGACUAACAAUGGCGAAGGCACUUUGCGAGUACAGAUCUGACAGUGAGGGAUGAAGGCUAGGGUCGCGAAAGGGAUUAGAUACCCCGGUAGUC